RNAcentral lists this ribosomal RNA (859 nucleotides) under uncultured Methylomirabilota bacterium. RNAcentral's name for it is "bacterial SSU rRNA". It matches the Rfam family "Bacterial small subunit ribosomal RNA", at positions 199 to 1034 of the family's 1533-position model. Lineage: Bacteria; Methylomirabilota (SeqCode). The record is from RNAcentral.
AACCAAAGGGGGCGAGCGUAAGCAGCUCUCACCGAAGGAGGAGCCUGCGUCCGGUUAGCUAGUUGGUGGGGUAAUGGCCUACCAAGGCGACGAUCGGUAGCCGGCCUGAGAGGGCGAUCGGCCACACUGGAACUGAGACACGGUCCAGACUCCUACGGGAGGCAGCAGUGGGGAAUAUUGCGCAAUGGGCGAAAGCCUGACGCAGCGACGCCGCGUGGGUGAUGAAGGCCUUCGGGUCGUAAAGCCCUGUCUGGUGGAACGAAACGCCUGGCGGCCAAUACCCGCUGGGUUUGACGGUACCACCGAAGGAAGCCCCGGCUAACUACGUGCCAGCAGCCGCGGUAAGACGUAGGGGGCGAGCGUUGUUCGGAUUUACUGGGCGUAAAGCGCGCGUAGGCGGCCAGAUAAGUCGGGUGUGAAAGCCCUCGGCUCAACCGAGGUUCCGCAUCCGAUACUGCUUGGCUGGAGUCUAGGAGAGGAGAGCGGAAUUCCCAGUGUAGCGGUGAAAUGCGUAGAUAUUGGGAGGAACACCCGUGGCGAAGGCGGCUCUCUGGACUAGUACUGACGCUGAGGCGCGAAAGCUAGGAGAGCGAACGGGAUUAGAUACCCCGGUAGUCCUAGCCGUAAACGAUGGGCACUAGGUGUGGGAGGUAUUGACCCCUUCCGCGCCGAAGCUAACGCAUUAAGUGCCCCGCCUGGGGAGUACGGCCGCAAGGCUAAAACUCAAAGGAAUUGACGGGGGCCCGCACAAGCGGUGGAGCAUGUGGUUCAAUUCGACGCAACGCGAAGAACCUUACCAGGGCUUGACAUCCCACGAACCUGCCUGAAAGGGCGGGGUGCCCGCAAGGGAGCGCGGAGA